CAGUAGCCGCGGUAAUACGGAGGGUGCAGGCGUUAAUCGGAAUUACUGGGCGUAAAGCGUGCGCAGGCGGUUCGUUAAGACAGAUGUGAAAUCCCCGGGCUUAACCUGGGAACUGCAUUUGUGACUGGCGAGCUAGAGUAUGGCAGAGGGGGGUAGAAUUCCACGUGUAGCAGUGAAAUGCGUAGAGAUGUGGAGGAAUACCGAUGGCGAAGGCAGCCCCCUGGGCCAAUACUGACGCUCAUGCACGAAAGCGUGGGGAGCAAACAGGAUUAGAUACCCGGGUAGUCCCUGUCUCUUAUAC
Molecule: ribosomal RNA, 301 nt
Filed under: uncultured bacterium
Lineage: Bacteria
Description: partial 16S ribosomal RNA
Rfam family: Bacterial small subunit ribosomal RNA
Source: RNAcentral